CUAAUCCCUCAAAUUUCGCCUCAGUUCAGAUUGAGGGCUGAAACCCGCCCUCAUGAAGCCGGAAUUGGUAGUAAUCGCGGAUCAGCAAGCCGCGGUGAAUACGUUCUCGGGUCUUGUACA
This 120-nucleotide ribosomal RNA is filed under the name Candidatus Levybacteria bacterium RIFCSPHIGHO2_12_FULL_37_12. Its description in RNAcentral is "partial 16S ribosomal RNA". It matches the Rfam family "Bacterial small subunit ribosomal RNA", at positions 1268 to 1387 of the family's 1533-position model. The record is from RNAcentral. Lineage: Bacteria; Candidatus Levyibacteriota.